Molecule: long non-coding RNA, 1188 nt
Organism: Pectinophora gossypiella (pink bollworm)
Lineage: Eukaryota; Metazoa; Arthropoda; Insecta; Lepidoptera; Gelechiidae
Exons: 2
Source: RefSeq, a predicted model, not a curated record
GCCUGUGCUGGAUUAGAACUUGCGAUCUCAGAGUGGUAGUCAAGCGCUCUUCCAACUAGGUUACCAAGACUCCAUGAAAAGAAAAACUAUAAUAAUAAUAACCAAAUAGACCAAGGUGGUUAAAAAGGCCUAUCCUCUAUUAAAGCAAUAUUGCUAUUUUACUUUUAUAUGCGCAAAUGUCAAAUAGCAAUAUUUCUUUUUUAGAUGAAUUGCUUCGAUGUGGCCAUUUUAACCCCCCCUGAUGUGAUAGGAUAACAAGUGUUAGUUUAAAAAUGUGUACAUAAAACAUUUUUUUGAUAAUGUCGCAUGUAAUAGUUAUCAUUAUGUGUUUCAUAGUUGAUAAGUAAAUUCUAAUCAACACUUAGUCAGUACCUAAACCAAGGAAAAGUGAUAAAAUAUGUAGUUAUCGACAGAUAUUGCUAUCUUAUCUUUUGCAUCGCAAUCACAAACUUCGAAAAUUUAUAAAAUGGUGUCGUUGUGAAUCACGGCUCACAAACAACAAUACACCCGAGUUGUUACGUCAUGGGUAACUGCUGCUGUUGCUGUGGGGAUUCUGGUGGUGGUGGAGUGAACGUGGUGGAGCAGCCAGGAUGGGGCGGUGGUGGGGGGGAUCCGGGCUCUGAAGUUGUCGUAGUCGACGGACCUGGCGGCAUGGGCAUGUCUAGAUGACCUUCGUAGUACAAAAGCGCGGCGUACUGUGUAGUUAGCUUGUAAUAGAAGUCUCAUCUUCUUAUCGUUUGGAUGGCAUACUAUAUUUUUUUAUCAGCGUUGCCAUGUUUGUUGGAUCCACGAAAAGUUCUUGUCUUUGGAGAUGUAAGGAAGUUUUAUAAUCUCUAAAGGGCAGUGGAAUCCAGAAAAUAAUCCCGCUCUUUUCGUUCAAUAAAUAAGUUGAUACGUAAGUAGGUACAUGCGCUGUGCGUAAAACGAAAGCGGAUUAAAAUAAAAGUGCGUGUGAUGGAUAAGGCAAUGUUACUAUAUUGUAAACAAAGGAGAUGAUAUAGACAGAUAGACAAAUGUUAAAACAACUACAGGCACGUUUGUUUAUUACCGGCUAGAGACACAGUAAAAUGCAGUUCCUCUGUAGACACAGAACUGAAGCCUUUCUCCAAAGAUGAUAGGCUAAAUUAAUGUACUUAAUGUAUAAGAAUAAUUGUAAAUGGACCAAAUAUUAAAUAAAUAAAUAUUUUU